CACCAAAAAAAGCAUGAGCACCCUGAUUUUAGGGGCUACUAUCGCUUUCAUGUGUUAUCGAGGGAGAGUUACAACUCUGACAAAUUAAUCGUUCAUGGCGUCUCUUUCACCAGCAUCCAAAUAAGUAAACUUUUUCUACUCCUCAAUUCAGAAUAUGUGUCAAAGGAGUUGUUGAUACGGCGGCCGGCAAGCGGAAGACGAAGAAGUUGAUGGAAUAAGAUAUUUAAUUUGUCAGGGUUGUGAUUCUCCUCCGAUACCAUAAGGAUGAUAGUAGCUGAUGAAACGUAUCUCAUGUGAUUUGAGCUGAUUCUAAUGGUUGCAGUUACUGUUGAAGCUGCAAAUUCGGUCAAUUUAUCUGGUGCAGUGUUCGAUUGAUUAUUGAAAUAGUGAAAUGCGACUGAGAUUUUUUCUGGGUUUGCUUUCAAUUUUGUGUUCAUUGAAUUGUGAUAUUAUUUAUUGUGUUCAACUGUUAAUUUAGGGAUUUACAAAAUGUGUCGAUUUUUCUACAAGAUUUAUCCUAAAUGACGGAUCUUGCUGGUUUGAUUUUGUUCAGAGUGUUAUUAUUUGUAAUUGUGUAUAAAAUGCUAAUCUGAUGAUGAUAUUUUGAAGGCUUUUUGAUGUGAUUUUAUU
Long non-coding RNA from Spinacia oleracea (spinach), 630 nucleotides. RefSeq lists it as uncharacterized. The record is from RefSeq and is a predicted model, not a curated record. The transcript is spliced from 2 exons. NCBI's taxonomy places the organism in Eukaryota, Viridiplantae, Streptophyta, Magnoliopsida, Caryophyllales, Amaranthaceae.